This 205-nucleotide long non-coding RNA is filed under the name Elaeis guineensis (African oil palm). RNAcentral's name for it is "long non-coding RNA (EGUI_LNC055145)". The record is from RNAcentral. Lineage: Eukaryota; Viridiplantae; Streptophyta; Magnoliopsida; Arecales; Arecaceae.
UGCCAUAUAAUCAUAUUGAUGAACACAAAAUAACUUGUUAUACAUUGUAGAGAAUUCGUGCCUAUCAUUUCCAAAAUAGGCUUGAGUCCUGAUCCUUUUACACUAGGUAUUUUUAUCAAUUGGCUUGAUUGUUGGGUUUUAGGAUCUAGCUAUGAUCACUAAUCUCUAUUCUCCAGACUUCAAAGCUUGAACGAAGUCUCCCUCC